AAGUCGUAACAAGGUUUCCGUAGGUGAACCUGCGGAAGGAUCAUUAAUGAAUUAAAAUAAAAAGAGAGUUGUUGCUGGUCUCUUUCGGGAGGCAUUGUGCACGCUCUUCUUUUAUUCAUUCAUCUACACCUGUGCACUUAUUGUAGGCCAAGAAAUUGGCCUAUGUACUUUUCAUUACACCCCAUAAAGUUUAAUGAAUGUCAUAAAUAAAUGGGCAUGCCUUAAAAAAGCAGGUCCUUUAAUUAAAAAACUAUACAACUUUCAACAACGGAUCUCUUGGCUCUC
RNAcentral lists this unclassified non-coding RNA (285 nucleotides) under Arrhenia sp. RNAcentral describes it as "partial internal transcribed spacer region". The stretch from base 1 to 46 matches the Rfam family "Eukaryotic small subunit ribosomal RNA", at positions 1786 to 1831 of the family's 1831-position model. Lineage: Eukaryota; Fungi; Basidiomycota; Agaricomycetes; Agaricales; Hygrophoraceae. The record is from RNAcentral.